RNAcentral lists this transfer RNA (76 nucleotides) under Candidatus Sodalis pierantonii str. SOPE. RNAcentral describes it as "tRNA-Ala (TGC) (tRNA-Ala-TGC-2-1)". It matches the Rfam family "tRNA". Rfam says of the family: Transfer RNA (tRNA) molecules are approximately 80 nucleotides in length. Their secondary structure includes four short double-helical elements and three loops (D, anti-codon, and T loops). The record is from RNAcentral. Lineage: Bacteria; Pseudomonadati; Pseudomonadota; Gammaproteobacteria; Enterobacterales; Bruguierivoracaceae.
GGGGCUAUAGCUCAGCUGGGAGAGCGCCUGCUUUGCACGCAGGAGGUCAGCGGUUCGAUCCCGCUUAACUCCACCA